UAGGGAAUCUUCCAUAAUGGACGAAAGUCUGAUGGAGCAACGCCGCGUGAGUGAAGAAGGGUUUCGGCUCGUAAAACUCUGUUGUUAAAGAAGAACAUAUCUGAGAGUAACUGUUCAGGUAUUGACGGUAUUUAACCAGAAAGCCACGGCUAACUACGUGGCAG
This 164-nucleotide ribosomal RNA is filed under the name uncultured bacterium. RNAcentral describes it as "partial 16S ribosomal RNA". It matches the Rfam family "Bacterial small subunit ribosomal RNA", at positions 355 to 511 of the family's 1533-position model. The record is from RNAcentral.